UACAGAGGGUGCAAGCGUUGUUCGGAAUUACUGGGCGUAAAGCGCGUGUAGGCGGCGGCGUAAGUCGGUGGUGAAAUCGCUCGGCUCAACUGGGCGGGGUCCGUGGAAACUGGUCACCUGGAGGACGGUAGAGGCGAGUGGAAUUCCCGGUGUAGUGGUGAAAUGCGUAGAGAUCGGGAGGAACACCAGUGGCGAAGGCGGCUCGCUGGGCCGGACCUGACGCUGAGACGCGAAGGCGUGGGGAGCGAACGGG
Molecule: ribosomal RNA, 253 nt
Filed under: uncultured bacterium
Lineage: Bacteria
Description: partial 16S ribosomal RNA
Rfam family: Bacterial small subunit ribosomal RNA
Source: RNAcentral